RNAcentral lists this ribosomal RNA (253 nucleotides) under uncultured bacterium. RNAcentral describes it as "partial 16S ribosomal RNA". It matches the Rfam family "Bacterial small subunit ribosomal RNA", at positions 524 to 776 of the family's 1533-position model. The record is from RNAcentral.
UACGUAGGUGGCGAGCGUUGUCCGGAAUUACUGGGUGUAAAGCGCGCGUAGGCGGUAGGCCAAGUCUGCUGUGAAAUCGCCCGGCUCAACUGGGCGCGGUCGGUGGAAACUGGUCAACUGGAGGACGGUAGAGGCGAGUGGAAUUCCCGGUGUAGUGGUGAAAUGCGUAGAGAUCGGGAGGAACACCAGUGGCGAAGGCGGCUCGCUGGGCCGGACCUGACGCUGAGACGCGAAAGCGUGGGGAGCAAACAGG